This 446-nucleotide ribosomal RNA is filed under the name uncultured bacterium. RNAcentral's name for it is "partial 16S ribosomal RNA". It matches the Rfam family "Bacterial small subunit ribosomal RNA", at positions 338 to 795 of the family's 1533-position model. The record is from RNAcentral.
CCUACGGGGCGCAGCAGUCGAGAAUCAUUCACAAUGGGGGAAACCCUGAUGGUGCGACGCCGCGUGGGGGAAUGAAGGUCUUCGGAUUGUAAACCCCUGUCAUGUGGGAGCAAAUUAAAAAGAUAGUACCACAAGAGGAAGAGACGGCUAACUCUGUGCCAGCAGCCGCGGUAAUACAGAGGUCUCAAGCGUUGUUCGGAAUCACUGGGCGUAAGGCGUGCGUAGGCUGUUUCGUAAGUCGUGUGUGAAAGGCGCGGGCUCAACCGGCGGACGGCACAUGAUACUGCGAGACUAGAGUAAUGGAGGGGGAACCGGAAUUCUCGGUGUAGCAGUGAAAUGCGUAGAUAUCGAGAGGAACACUCGUGGCGAAGGCGGGUUCCUGGACAUUAACUGACGCUGAGGCACGAAGGCCAGGGGAGCGAAAGGGAUUAGAUACCCCUGUAGUC